GCCCAACCAGGGGAGCAAGGAGGGCUGGAAGAGGAGGGGCCCACUGGUACCCCACACAGGCAUCCAGGUUGCUGGGUACAUGGUCGGCUACGCAGUCACACGACCCCACUUCCUGGUGGCACAGCCUGGCCGACACAGUGCAAGUCUUUGCUGGUCCAGCCUGGCCCCGUGGCCCCACAGAAGAAGCCGCCUUAUGGCCUUAGGCAAAAUUACAAGAAGCCAAGAUCCCCAGAUGGAAGAUACAGCCAACAAACACUUCAAAAGUUAAGGAAGCCUCGUCUACACUGGGUGAUCCAUGAAGCUCUAGACUUCAGGAAUUACUAUCCAGAUGGAAGGGCCCAACUCCAAGGAGCACUCCAACUCCUCCCAACUCAUCUCUGAAUUUGGGCAUCUCAGAGUUAACCUAGAUAACACUAACUCUGGAAAGAAUAUUAUCCUAAUGGAAGGGAGAGGCAGGGGUCUUAUGUAAGAUGGAGUAAAGAGACUGAGAUUUUUGAGAGCAUAUUAAUGUAUCUGCGUAAUAAAAUGAGAGAUGGUCAAUACUC
Non-coding RNA from Sus scrofa (pig), 545 nucleotides. The record is from RefSeq and is a predicted model, not a curated record. NCBI's taxonomy places the organism in Eukaryota, Metazoa, Chordata, Mammalia, Artiodactyla, Suidae.